GUUCUCCUCAACUGGCGGCGGCGCGAACGAAUAGUCGCCGGCGACCUGUGAGGGCACUCGGAAGGGCGAGGGGAGGGCUCGACCGCUCGCGCCUAGUUUUUCUAUCUCUCCCGGAGCCUGAGUCUCUGAGCCGUCCCCAGCAAACGCUCAGGGGCUGCAGAGGCCCCGAGAGGUGAGGGGCUCCGUGAGGGCGGGAACCAGGCUGAGGCCGCCUCUGGGGAGCGGAGCGUGUCCGUUGCUGAGGGAGCAAGGCCGGGUAGGGAGCCUGGUGAGCGCCUCAGGCAGGGGCGCACGCUGAGCUUUACGGUAAAGGUGUUCCUUGACCAGCGGAAGAGGCCCCAGAGUGAGCCUGGCCCGGCGGUCCUUAGUGGGAUGUCGCCUGCCGCUCUCAGCAGAGCUUUGACGGCGGAGAGGAGUCGGCAGGCGGUGUGUGGACACCUCCUCGGCCUUGCAUCUGCUCCCCGGGAGAGUCACCAACCGCCUCCCCGCCCAAAGGGCACCGGAGGGAGCUUCGGUUCGAGGGCUUGGCUCUCUGGCAGAUUUCCUCUAGUAAGAGGUGGCUCUGGAGGCCCCGCGAAACGAGUGUGGUGUGUGGUUGCAAGGCAUGAUGGCUGCAAAAGUGGUUCCUAUGCCCCCAAAGCCAAAGCAGUCCUUUAUACUGAGAGUUCCGCCAGACUCCAAGCUGGGCCAAGACCUACUUCGAGAUGCCACUAACGGGCCCAAGACCAUCCACCAGCUAGUGCUGGAGCACUUCCUCACCUUCUUGCCCAAGCCAAGCCUGGUCCAGCCCAGUCAGAAAGUCAAGGAGACCUUGGUUAUUAUGAAAGAUGUGAGCUCAAGCCUUCAGAACAGAGUGCAUCCUCGUCCCUUGGUGAAGCUUCUGCCCAAAGGAGUCCAAAAGGAACAAGAGACAGUGUCUCUGUAUUUGAAAGCUAACCCUGAGGAGCUGGUGGUCUUUGAGGAUUUGAAUGUAUUUCACUGCCAGGAAGAAUGUGUGAGCUUGGAUCCUACUCAACAACUCACGUCAGAGAAGGAAGAUGACAGCAGUGUCGGGGAAAUGAUGUUACUGGGAGUUCAAUUCUGGAAAUCUGACCUACAGAUAUAGCAACAGAACACAUUCGAAAUGAUGUACAAAGAAGAUUAUUCACUGUGGUAUUGUUUGUAAAAACACAAGGUUGGAAGCAGUCCAAGUGUAGUUAAAGAGGAAGAUCAAUGGCAGUAAUCCUGAAGGUGAAGAUCCUGAGAGGGAACCUGUAGAAAAUGAAGAUUAUAGAGAAAAGUCUUCAGAUGAUGAUGAAAUGGAUUCUUCCUUGGUCUCUCAGCAGCCUCCCGAUAACCAGGAAAAGGAACGACUAAAUACAUCCAUUCCACAAAAAAGGAAAAUGAGAAAUCUGUUAGUUACCAUUGAGAAUGAUACUCCUCUAGAGGAACUCUCAAAAUAUGUAGACAUCAGUAUUAUUGCCCUUACUCGAAAUCGGAGGACAAGGAGAUGGUACACUUGUCCACUGUGUGGGAAACAGUUUAAUGAAAGUUCUUACCUCAUUUCCCACCAGAGGACCCACACUGGAGAAAAACCCUAUGACUGUAAUCACUGUGGGAAAAGCUUCAAUCAUAAAACAAACCUCAAUAAACAUGAGCGAAUUCAUACAGGAGAGAAACCUUAUUCCUGUUCUCAGUGUGGAAAAAACUUCCGUCAGAAUUCUCAUCGGAGUCGUCAUGAAGGAAUCCAUAUAAGGGAGAAGAUAUUUAAGUGUCCAGAAUGUGGGAAAACCUUCCCAAAGAAUGAGGAGUUUGUGCUUCAUCUGCAGAGUCAUGAGGCUGAGAGACCAUAUGGUUGCAAAAAAUGUGGGAGAAGAUUUGGUCGGCUGUCAAACUGUACCCGGCAUGAGAAAACCCACUCAGCCUGUAAGACCCGAAAGCAGAAGUAAUACUGGGAACCCUUUCUGGGUCUGAUGGUGCUGCCUCAACCUGAGAGCUUUCAUAAGUAGUUCUGAAUUCCCAAGCUGCCUAAAAAGGUAUAAAUGUGUAAAAAUCUCAUUAUUGCCAAAAUUGGAUAAAUGCCCAUCUUAGCUAAAACCUCAAAUUGCUAGAAAAUUCACAGGGAAGAAAACAUUUCAAGGGCUAUACCUCAGCAUCUAGGCUUUUUGGACUAAGGAGCUUUCCUUUUUGAAGUUAUAUGAUAAUGUACAGGUCACAGAUCCCCUUUCCCAACACUUUGAAGAUGAAUCUGGAGUCUGCUUACUUGGAAGGCAAAGAGUGACUUGUGUCUAUUGAAAGUAUAUCCGUUUUCCCCCCACAUGGGGAUUCAUACUUGAGAAAUAGUGCAAAGAUGCUUAUCUGGAACUGUGUUCUGGUGAAAGAACCAAAUUACUGGCUUGUUAGCCAACAGCUUCUGAUAGCAAUUCAUAUAACCCUCUAAGAAUACCUGUUUAAGUCUUGAGUGUUGAAAGGAAUUGUUUACUUUGGAAUAUAGGAAAACAGUUGAAUGUCAGACUCUCAUUUGUAUGUGAUCUAAAUUUGCAAUCAAUUUCAAUAAUAUUUACAAUUUGUGAUAAAACUGACUUUUACAGAUUCCUUUUCACAACAUAAUUUAGGUGUCUACUGUUCUUAUUGUAUUUUGUUCUGCUGUUGAUCUCUCCAGCAGCCGUCUCAUGCUUCUCCCUUGCUAAAAGAAGUUUGGAUUACUCAGGCAGGGCCAUCCAGCCCCACCACUAGAAAAGCUCUUCAGAAUCUUGUCCCUCUGUUGAGCCCAGAUCUCAUGUGCUACGAAGGAAACCCCAAGACCCAGAGAGGAAGGGUCAACCUGGAGGCAGGAAAAAGUUGGCUUGGAUCCAUGUCUCAUCAAUAACCUUACCAUAUGCUUAGGUCCCCUCUAUGCUGUCAUCAGACCUUUGGCAAUGGGGUGGUCACUACCUCACAAGGCAAAGUGUUGUAUGAUUAGAAAUUACGUCUCCAGUGGUUAGCUCACAUUGCCUCUCAAGAGACAGGUUUCCAGGUGUCUUCAUUGUAGUGGGUAUUAAUUGUCUUCAGCCUCUUGAUAUCCAUACCUUCCUGUCCUCUGCCUAGAAGCAAGGCCAGCGGUGCCUUUACGGACUGAUCGUGUGGUGCGAUUUAGGGAUUCUUCAGUUUUGCUUGCUUUAGGUUUCCAAAAGUUAUACAUUGGUGUUUUGAUUGGAAUAAAGAAAUCCUAUAAGCUAUUUGGGAAAAAUUAUAGUGUAUGUUUCCCAUCCAGAAACAUGCCUUUCUAUUUAUUAGAGUAUUAUAUUCCUGUGAAAAUUUUUCUAAUUUUCUUCACUUGUUUUACACAAUUUUGUUAUUGUAGUUUUUUCCAUUAUAUUUUUAUAGUUGAUUAUUGCUUUUACAUGGGAAAGUUAUUUUUAAUUAUAUAUUUGUAUAGUCAUCUCACUGUUGUUAAUUUUCAAUAGUUUGUUGGUUUAGUUCUGUUAACUUUUGGUAAAAUGACACCAUCUACAAAGAAUAGUUUUUGUUUCUUGC
This is an RNA transcript of Homo sapiens (human), 3495 nucleotides long. It is a transcript of the gene named zinc finger protein 200, with no coding region annotated. The transcript is spliced from 6 exons. The record is from RefSeq and is marked validated. Lineage: Eukaryota; Metazoa; Chordata; Mammalia; Primates; Hominidae.